UACGAAGGGGGCUAGCGUUGCUCGGAAUUACUGGGCGUAAAGGGCGCGUAGGCGGAUAGUUCAGUUGGGGGUGAAAGCCCGGGGCUCAACCUCGGAACUGCCUUCAAUACUGGCUAUCUUGAGUACGGGAGAGGUGUGUGGAACUCCGAGUGUAGAGGUGAAAUUCGUAGAUAUUCGGAAGAACACCAGUGGCGAAGGCGACAUACUGGUCCGUUACUGACGCUGAGGCUCGAAAGCGUGGGGAGCAAACAGG
RNAcentral lists this ribosomal RNA (253 nucleotides) under uncultured bacterium. RNAcentral's name for it is "partial 16S ribosomal RNA". It matches the Rfam family "Bacterial small subunit ribosomal RNA", at positions 524 to 776 of the family's 1533-position model. The record is from RNAcentral.